CCUACGGGUGGCAGCAGUGAGGAAUAUUGGUCAAUGGACGAGAGUCUGAACCAGCCAAGUAGCGUGAAGGAUGACUGCCCUAUGGGUUGUAAACUUCUUUUAUAUGGGAAUAAAAUGUUCCCCGUGUGGGAUUUUGUAUUUCCCAUUUGAAUAAGGAUCGGCUAACUCCGUGCCAGUAGCCGCGGUAAUACGGAGGAUCCGAGCGUUAUCCGGAUUUUUUGGGUUUAAAGGGAGCGUAGGUGGAUUGUUAAGUCAGUUGUGAAAGUUUGCGGCUCAACCGUAAAAUUGCAGUUGAAACUGGCAGUCUUGAGUACAGUAGAGGUGGGCGGAAUUCGUGGUGUAGCGGUGAAAUGCUUAGAUAUCACGAAGAACUCCGAUUGCGAAGGCAGCUCACUGGACUGCAACUGACACUGAGGCUCGAAAGUGUGGGUAUCAAACAGGAUUAGAUACCCUUGUAGUC
This 460-nucleotide ribosomal RNA is filed under the name uncultured bacterium. Its description in RNAcentral is "partial 16S ribosomal RNA". It matches the Rfam family "Bacterial small subunit ribosomal RNA", at positions 338 to 795 of the family's 1533-position model. The record is from RNAcentral.